RNAcentral lists this unclassified non-coding RNA (418 nucleotides) under Homo sapiens (human). RNAcentral describes it as "adaptor related protein complex 2 subunit alpha 2 (ENSG00000280759.2, ENSG00000281385.2)". The record is from RNAcentral. Lineage: Eukaryota; Metazoa; Chordata; Mammalia; Primates; Hominidae.
GUAAAAGUAAAGAAGCAGAAAUAAAAAGGAUAAACAAGGAACUGGCAAAUAUCAGAUCAAAAUUUAAAGGUGAAGCCCACCAUCCAGGACGUGCUGCGCAGCGACAGCCAGCUCAGGAACGCAGACGUGGAGCUGCAGCAGCGUGCUGUGGAGUACCUGCGGCUCAGCACCGUGGCCAGCACCGACAUUCUGGCGACCGUGCUGGAGGAGAUGCCCCCAUUCCCGGAGCGGGAGUCCUCCAUCUUGGCAAAGCUCAAGAAGAAGAAGGGCCCCAGCACGGUGACAGACCUGGAGGACACCAAGCGGGACAGGAGUGUGGACGUGAACGGGGGUCCUGAGCCUGCCCCAGCCAGUACCAGCGCCGUGUCUACGCCUUCUCCGUCGGCAGACCUGCUGGGUCUCGGGGCUGCCCCCCCUG